This 407-nucleotide unclassified non-coding RNA is filed under the name fungal sp. RNAcentral's name for it is "partial internal transcribed spacer region". The stretch from base 1 to 46 matches the Rfam family "Eukaryotic small subunit ribosomal RNA", at positions 1786 to 1831 of the family's 1831-position model. Lineage: Eukaryota; Fungi. The record is from RNAcentral.
AAGUCGUAACAAGGUUUCCGUAGGUGAACCUGCGGAAGGAUCAUUAACACAUCCUUUUCAAAUAUCAUACAACUUGUCGCACUUGUCGUUGGGAGCCUGUUGAGAGAAGGCCGGUUUGGCAAUGGUUAGAUUCCUUUUCGUAAGGAAUUGCCUGCCGCGCUAGUCAUCCGCCUUUGCAAUGCAAUGGUGAGGUGAGACUUCUACUUUUCAGGUCACUACAGCCUCUUUCCAUGGCUGGCCCUUUUUUUUUAUUUUUAACCUUUUUGUUUUUUGUACUGAAUUUGGGCUCUGUAGAGUGAAGUUGUUGCUUGCAACGAUCUCUCUCUCUCUGUCCUUUAAAUGAGUCCCAGCGAUUCAUUUUUAAAAACAACAAAACACAACUCUUAACAGCGGAUAUCUCGGUUCUC